This 253-nucleotide ribosomal RNA is filed under the name uncultured bacterium. RNAcentral's name for it is "partial 16S ribosomal RNA". It matches the Rfam family "Bacterial small subunit ribosomal RNA", at positions 524 to 776 of the family's 1533-position model. The record is from RNAcentral.
UACGGAGGGGGCUAGCGUUGUUCGGAAUUACUGGGCGUAAAGCGCGCGUAGGCGGACCUGCAAGUCGGGGGUGAAAGCCCGAGGCUCAACCUCGGAACUGCCUUCGAUACUGCGGGUCUCGAGUCCGGGAGAGGUGAGUGGAACUCCGAGUGUAGAGGUGAAAUUCGUAGAUAUUCGGAAGAACACCAGUGGCGAAGGCGGCUCACUGGCCCGGUACUGACGCUGAGGCGCGAAAGCGUGGGGAGCAAACAGG